UACGGAAGGCAGCAGUGGGGAAUAUUGCACAAUGGGCGAAAGCCUGAUGCAGCUAUGCCGCGUGUAUGAAGAAGGCCUUAGGGUUGUAAAGUACUUUCAUCGGGGAGGAAAAACAAAACUAAUAAUUUUAUUUCUUGACGUUACCCGAAAAAGAAGCACCGGCUAACUCCGUGCCAGCAGCCGCGGUAAUACGGAGGGUGCUAGCGUUAAUCAGAAUUACUGGGCGUAAAGAGCACGUAGGUGGUUUUUUAAGUCAGAUGUGAAAUCCCUGGGCUUAACCUGGAACUGCAUUUUGAAACUGAAAUACUAGAGUAUCGUAGAGGGAGGUAGAAUUCUAGGUGUAGCGGUGAAAUGCGUAGAUAUCUGGAGGAAUACCUGUGGCGAAAGCGGCCUCCUAAACGAAUACUGACACUGAGGUGCGAAAGCGUGGGGAGCGAAACAGGGAUUAGAUACC
Molecule: ribosomal RNA, 454 nt
Filed under: uncultured bacterium
Lineage: Bacteria
Description: bacterial SSU rRNA
Rfam family: Bacterial small subunit ribosomal RNA
Source: RNAcentral